AGAGCAGGUAAAACCCUGUAGUCGAAAGUUCGUUCCCUCCUGAGUGGAUCCUGAGUACGGGGAACACGUGAAAUUCCGUCGGAAUCCGGGAGGACCAUCUCCCAAGGCUAAAUACUACCUAGUGACCGAUAGUGAACCAGUACCGUGAGGAAAGGUGAAAAGCACCCCGGAAGGGGAGUGAAAGAGAUCCUGAAACCGUGUGCCUACAAGUAGUUAGAGCCCGUUAAUGGGUGAUAGCGUGCCUUUUGUAGAAUGAACCGGCGAGUUACGAUUACGUGCGAGGUUAAGCUUUAGAAGGCGGAGCCGCAGCGAAAGCGAGUCUGAAUAGGGCGAAUUAGUACGUGGUCGUAGACCCGAAACCAGGUGAUCUACCCAUGUCCAGGGUGAAGGUAAGGUAACACUUACUGGAGGCCCGAACCCACGCACGUUGAAAAGUGCGGGGAUGAGGUGUGGGUAGCGGAGAAAUUCCAAUCGAACUUGGAGAUAGCUGGUUCUCUCCGAAAUAGCUUUAGGGCUAGCCUCGUGAUGAGAAUACUGGAGGUAGAGCACUGUUUGGACUAGGGGGCCAUCCCGGUUUACCGAAUUCAGACAAACUCCGAAUGCCAGAUAUUUAUACACGGGAGUCAGACUGCGAGUGAUAAGAUCCGUAGUCAAAAGGGAAACAGCCCAGACCACCAGCUAAGGUCCCAAAGUAAUCGUUAAGUGGAAAAGGAUGUGGCGUUGCACAGACAACCAGGAUGUUGGCUUAGAAGCAGCCAUCAUUUAAAGAGUGCGUAAUAGCUCACUGGUCGAGUGACGCUGCGCCGAAAAUGUAUCGGGGCUAAACGAUUCACCGAAGCUGUGGAUUGACAUCUACGAUGUCAGUGGUAGGAGAGCGUUCUAAGUGCGUUGAAGUCAGACCGGAAGGACUGGUGGAGCGCUUAGAAGUGAGAAUGCCGGUAUGAGUAGCGAAAGACGGGUGAGAAUCCCGUCCACCGUAUGACUAAGGUUUCCUGAGGAAGGCUCGUCCGCUCAGGGUUAGUCGGGACCUAAGCCGAGGCCGAUAGGCGUAGGCGAUGGACAACAGGUUGAUAUUCCUGUACCACCUCCUCACCGUUUGAGAAAUGGGGGGACGCAGUAGGAUAGGGUAAGCGCGCUGUUGGUUAUGCGCGUCCAAGCAGUAAGGCGUGUGUGUAGGCAAAUCCGCACACUGUAACGUUGAGCUGUGAUGGCGAGUCCGUAUGGACGAAGUUCCUGAUUUCACACUGCCAAGAAAAGCCUCUAUCGAGGUGAGAGGUGCCCGUACCGCAAACCGACACAGGUAGUCGAGGAGAGAAUCCUAAGGUGUGCGAGAGAACUCUCGUUAAGGAACUCGGCAAAAUGACCCCGUAACUUCGGGAGAAGGGGUGCUCUUGAGCGUGCAAGCGCAUGAGAGCCGCAGUGAAUAGGCCCAGGCGACUGUUUAGCAAAAACACAGGUCUCUGCAAAACCGUAAGGUGACGUAUAGGGGCUGACGCCUGCCCGGUGCUGGAAGGUUAAGAGGAGUGGUUAGCGCAAGCGAAGCUGCGAAUUGAAGCCCCAGUAAACGGCGGCCGUAACUAUAACGGUCCUAAGGUAGCGAAAUUCCUUGUCGGGUAAGUUCCGACCCGCACGAAAGGCGUAACGAUCUGGGCACUGUCUCAACGAGAGACUCGGUGAAAUUAUAGUACCUGUGAAGAUGCAGGUUACCCGCGACAGGACGGAAAGACCCCGUGGAGCUUUACUGUAGCCUGAUAUUGAAUUUUGGUACAACUUGUACAGGAUAGGUAGGAGCCAGAGAUCUCGGAGCGCCAGCUUCGAAGGAGGCGUCGGUGGGAUACUACCCUGGUUGUAUUGAAAUUCUAACCCAUGCCCCUUAGCGGGGCAGGAGACAGUGUCAGGCGGACAGUUUGACUGGGGCGGUCGCCUCCUAAAAGGUAACGGAGGCGCCCAAAGGUUCCCUCAGAAUGGUUGGAAAUCAUUCGUAGAGUGUAAAGGCACAAGGGAGCUUGACUGCGAGACCUACAAGUCGAGCAGGGUCGAAAGACGGGCUUAGUGAUCCGGUGGUUCCGCAUGGAAGGGCCAUCGCUCAACGGAUAAAAGCUACCCCGGGGAUAACAGGCUUAUCUCCCCCAAGAGUCCACAUCGACGGGGAGGUUUGGCACCUCGAUGUCGGCUCAUCGCAUCCUGGGGCUGUAGUCGGUCCCAAGGGUUGGGCUGUUCGCCCAUUAAAGCGGUACGCGAGCUGGGUUCAGAACGUCGUGAGACAGUUCGGUCCCUAUCCGUCGUGGGCGUAGGAAAUUUGAGAGGAGCUGUCCUUAGUACGAGAGGACCGGGAUGGACACACCGCUGGUGUACCAGUUGUCUUGCCAAAGGCAUCGCUGGGUAGCUAUGUGUGGACGGGAUAAGUGCUGAAAGCAUCUAAGCAUGAAGCCCCCCUCAAGAUGAGAUUUCCCAUUACGUAAGUAAGUAAGAUCCCUCAAAGACGAUGAGGUAGAUAGGUUCGAGGUGGAAGUGUGGUGACACAUGGAGCUGACGAAUACUAAUCGAUCGAGGACUUAACCAAAA
Molecule: ribosomal RNA, 2565 nt
Filed under: Lysinibacillus fusiformis
Lineage: Bacteria; Bacillati; Bacillota; Bacilli; Caryophanales; Bacillaceae
Description: bacterial LSU rRNA
Rfam family: Bacterial large subunit ribosomal RNA
Source: RNAcentral